AGCAGCCGCGGUAAUUCCAGCUCCAAUAGCGUAUAUUAAAGUUGUUGCAGUUAAAAAGCUCGUAGUUGAAUUUCGGAGUUUAUCGGUUGGUCGGGCUUCACUGUCCGCACUGACCUGAUGGAUUCCUACCUUCUGAAUAACCAGCAUGCUAUUAAAUUAGUGCGUUGGGGAAGCAGAGCUAUUACCUUGAAAAAAUUAGAGUGCUUAAAGCAGGCUUAUGCUUGAAUAGAUUAGCAUGGAAUAAUAAAAUAGGACGGCAUGGUUCUAUUUUGUUGGUUUCUAGGAUCACCGUAAUGAUUAAUAGGGAUAGUUGGGGGCAUUAGUAUUCAAUUGUCAGAGGUGAAAUUCUUGGAUUUAUUGAAGACUAACUUCUGCGAAAGCAUUUGCCAAGGAUGUUUUCAUUAAUCAAGAACGAAAGUUAGGGGAUCGAGACGAUCAGAUACCGUCGUAGUCUUAACCAUAAACUAUGCCGACUAGGGAUCGGACGAUGUUAAUUUUUUAAUGACUCGUUCGGCGCCUU
Molecule: ribosomal RNA, 520 nt
Filed under: uncultured Acaulospora
Lineage: Eukaryota; Fungi; Glomeromycota; Glomeromycetes; Diversisporales; Acaulosporaceae
Description: SSU rRNA
Rfam family: Eukaryotic small subunit ribosomal RNA
Source: RNAcentral